GAUGAACGCUAGCGGCAGGCCUAACACAUGCAAGUCGAGGGGGAAGUUACUUUCGGGUGACUGAGACCGGCGUACGGGUGCGUAACGCGUAUACAAUCUGCCUUUCACUGGGGGAUAGCCCGAAGAAAUUUGGAUUAAUUCCCCAUAGUAUAUAGGGACGGCAUCGUUUUUAUAUUAAAGCUUAGGUGGUGAAAGAUGAGUAUGCGUUCUAUUAGCUAGUUGGAGAGGUAACGGCUCCCCAAGGCGAUGAUAGAUAGGGGUUCUGAGAGGGAUGUCCCCCACACUGGUACUGAGAUACGGACCAGACUCCUACGGGAGGCAGCAGUGAGGAAUAUUGGACAAUGGUCGGAAGACUGAUCCAGCCAUGCCGCGUGCAGGAUGAAGGUCUUAUGGAUUGUAAACUGCUUUUGUAAGGGAAGAAUAAGGGCUACGCGUAGUUUGAUGACGGUACCUUACGAAUAAGCAUCGGCUAACUCCGUG
This 480-nucleotide ribosomal RNA is filed under the name uncultured bacterium. RNAcentral describes it as "partial 16S ribosomal RNA". It matches the Rfam family "Bacterial small subunit ribosomal RNA", at positions 28 to 507 of the family's 1533-position model. The record is from RNAcentral.